UGCGUCGAAAAUCCUGUAUUUCAUAUUUGGGGUAUUCGCAAAACCUGUUGAAUUUAUUUAAAAAGUUAAGUGUGUAUUAAGUACAAUAUGCUUUAGAUUCGGCAUUCCUCUUGAUUUGUGUAUCUCAAAAAUUCAAAUAUUUGUAAGCCUAAAUCAUAUGACGCAGUUUUAAACUUGCUGGAACAUUAACUAAAAGCAAAGAACAUAAUUUUUAGUUUCAAUUAAAACAGAAACAUAAAGAAAUCAAAAUCCAGAAGGAUUAUAACGUGCAUAGUACACGUUAUUUUCAACAGUGAAAACCCCACGAAACUCCAAUCCUAUGGACUCCACCAAUGGGGUCUACCCCAUCAAAGGCCAAGUGAUAGCCAACAUCGAUGUUUUUUCCGAUCUUUGACUGGUAGACGAACCCGAUUCUGGAGUCCUCCCGCAACUUGGCCUUCACCAUGGUGCCAUUCUGGAAGUCGUACUGAACCCCAAUGGCAAACUGUUUCACAUUUUCCGAGCUGUAGAGGUUCGACUUAAUGGCAAAAGCCCAGGCAUCGCCGAUCCUUUGAAAGAACGAUCCUCGUAGGUCCUCGAAAUUCUCGCUACAAAUGAAUAUAUUAUCCUA
Drosophila erecta is the source of this 610-nucleotide long non-coding RNA. RefSeq lists it as uncharacterized. NCBI's taxonomy places the organism in Eukaryota, Metazoa, Arthropoda, Insecta, Diptera, Drosophilidae. The transcript has 2 exons. The record is from RefSeq and is a predicted model, not a curated record.